This 621-nucleotide ribosomal RNA is filed under the name Exiguobacterium sp. 2J9. RNAcentral describes it as "bacterial SSU rRNA". It matches the Rfam family "Bacterial small subunit ribosomal RNA", at positions 51 to 642 of the family's 1533-position model. The record is from RNAcentral. Lineage: Bacteria; Bacillati; Bacillota; Bacilli; Caryophanales.
AUACAUGCAAGUCGAGCGCAGNANGCCGUUCCGAACCCUUCGGGGGGACGACGGNGGAAUGAGCGGCGGACGGGUGAGUAACACGUAAAGAACCUGCCCAUAGGUCUGGGAUAACCACGAGAAAUCGGGGCUAAUACCGGAUGUGUCAUCGGACCGCAUGGUCCGAUGAUGAAAGGCGCUCCGGCGUCGCCCAUGGAUGGCUUUGCGGUGCAUUAGCUAGUUGGUGGGGUAAUGGCCCACCAAGGCGACGAUGCAUAGCCGACCUGAGAGGGUGAUCGGCCACACUGGGACUGAGACACGGCCCAGACUCCUACGGGAGGCAGCAGUAGGGAAUCUUCCACAAUGGACGAAAGUCUGAUGGAGCAACGCCGCGUGAACGAUGAAGGUUUUCGGAUCGUAAAGUUCUGUUGUAAGGGAAGAACAAGUGCCGCANGCAAUGGCGGCACCUUGACGGUACCUUGCGAGAAAGCCACGGCUAACUACGUGCCAGCAGCCGCGGUAAUACGUAGGUGGCAAGCGUUGUCCGGAAUUAUUGGGCGUAAAGCGCGCGCAGGCGGCCUCUUAAGUCUGAUGUGAAAGCCCCCGGCUCAAACGGGGAGGGGCAUUGGAAACUGGGAGGCU